UUUCCGUAGGUGAACCUGCGGAAGGAUCAUUAAUGAGUUGUCAUGGGGUUCGAUGCUGGCAGCCAGUUUUUGGAUGCAUGUGCUUGCCCUAACAAUCAUCUUCUUCCAAACACCUGUGCACAUUUUUGAGGGAGUCUUGAGUUGGUUGCCGCUCUUGGGUGAUUUUCUCACAUUCCCUUAAAUCAUUAUACGCUAUUAACAAUGUUGAACGUGCUCUGUGCCGCAAGGCCAUUAAUACAAUACAACUUUUAACAACGGAUCUCUUGGCUCUC
This 272-nucleotide unclassified non-coding RNA is filed under the name plant metagenome. RNAcentral's name for it is "partial contains small subunit ribosomal RNA, internal transcribed spacer 1, and 5.8S ribosomal RNA". The record is from RNAcentral.